CAAAUAGAGGCGCAAGGACUAUGAAUUCAAUAUUGUCAAUGGGUGCAUCCAGAUAUUGAAAGAGGAGGAUUGCCGAAGGAGUCAGCAAUUGCACGUACUGACUUACUGGUGUAAGGGAGAAGAUGUCUUACACUGUCACAAGAUAUAUACUUGUGGAGAGCUAUUGAAU
RNAcentral lists this non-coding RNA (169 nucleotides) under uncultured Intestinibaculum sp. RNAcentral describes it as "Lysine riboswitch". It matches the Rfam family "Lysine riboswitch aptamer". From Rfam's summary of the family: Riboswitches are metabolite binding domains within certain messenger RNAs that serve as precision sensors for their corresponding targets. Allosteric rearrangement of mRNA structure is mediated by ligand binding, and this results in modulation of gene expression. Lineage: Bacteria; Bacillati; Bacillota; Erysipelotrichia; Erysipelotrichales; Erysipelotrichaceae. The record is from RNAcentral.